RNAcentral lists this ribosomal RNA (301 nucleotides) under uncultured bacterium. Its description in RNAcentral is "partial 16S ribosomal RNA". It matches the Rfam family "Bacterial small subunit ribosomal RNA", at positions 509 to 807 of the family's 1533-position model. The record is from RNAcentral.
CAGUCGCCACGGGAACACGAAGGGUGCAAGCGUUAAUCGGAUUUACUGGGCGUAAAGCGCACGUAGGCGGAUCGAUCAGUCAGUGGUGAAAUCCCAGAGCUCAACUCUGGAACUGCCUUUGAUACUGUCGAUCUGGAGUAUGGAAGAGGUGAGUGGAAUUCCGAGUGUAGAGGUAAAAUUCGUAGAUAUUCGGAGGAACACCAGUGGCGAAGGCGGCUCACUGGUCCAUUACUGACGCUGAGGUGCGAAAGCGUGGGGAGCAAACAGGAUUAGAUACCCCUGUAGUCCCUGUCUCUUAUAC